This 465-nucleotide ribosomal RNA is filed under the name Vreelandella stevensii. RNAcentral describes it as "partial 16S ribosomal RNA". It matches the Rfam family "Bacterial small subunit ribosomal RNA", at positions 338 to 795 of the family's 1533-position model. Lineage: Bacteria; Pseudomonadati; Pseudomonadota; Gammaproteobacteria; Oceanospirillales; Halomonadaceae. The record is from RNAcentral.
CCUACGGGGGGCUGCAGUGGGGAAUAUUGGACAAUGGGGGCAACCCUGAUCCAGCCAUGCCGCGUGUGUGAAGAAGGCCCUCGGGUUGUAAAGCACUUUCAGUGAGGAAGAACACCUGGUGGUUAAUACCCAUCAGGAAAGACAUCACUCACAGAAGAAGCACCGGCUAACUCCGUGCCAGCAGCCGCGGUAAUACGGAGGGUGCGAGCGUUAAUCGGAAUUACUGGGCGUAAAGCGCGCGUAGGUGGCUUGAUAAGCCGGUUGUGAAAGCCCCGGGCUCAACCUGGGAACGGCAUCCGGAACUGUCAAGCUAGAGUGCAGGAGAGGAAGGUAGAAUUCCCGGUGUAGCGGUGAAAUGCGUAGAGAUCGGGAGGAAUACCAGUGGCGAAGGCGGCCUUCUGGACUGACACUGACACUGAGGUGCGAAAGCGUGGGUAGCAAACAGGAUUAGAUACCCUUGUAGUC